This 460-nucleotide ribosomal RNA is filed under the name uncultured bacterium. RNAcentral describes it as "partial 16S ribosomal RNA". It matches the Rfam family "Bacterial small subunit ribosomal RNA", at positions 339 to 795 of the family's 1533-position model. The record is from RNAcentral.
CUACGGGGCGCAGCAGUGAGGAAUAUUGGUCAAUGGACGCAAGUCUGAACCAGCCAUGCCGCGUGAAGGAAUGACGGCCCUAUGGGUUGUAAACUUCUUUUAUAUACCAAGAAAGUUAGCUAUGUAUAGUUAUUUGACGGUAGUAUAUGAAUAAGGAUCGGCUAACUCCGUGCCAGCAGCCGCGGUAAUACGGAGGAUCCAAGCGUUAUCCGGAUUUAUUGGGUUUAAAGGGUGCGCAGGCAGAAUAAUAAGUCAGGGGUGAAAUCCUACAGCUCAACUGUAGAACUGCCUUUGAUACUGUUAUUCUUGAGUUAAGUUGGAGUAGGCGGAAUGUAGCAUGUAGCGGUGAAAUGCAUAGAUAUGCUACAGAACACCAAUCGCGAAGGCAGCUUACUAAGCUUAUACUGACGCUCAGGCACGAAAGCGUGGGUAGCGAACAGGAUUAGAUACCCGCGUAGUC